Molecule: RNA transcript, 3525 nt
Organism: Cynoglossus semilaevis (tongue sole)
Lineage: Eukaryota; Metazoa; Chordata; Actinopteri; Pleuronectiformes; Cynoglossidae
Exons: 5
Source: RefSeq, a predicted model, not a curated record
CUCUGACCUCCUCUGCUCUCGGCUCCACCUGUCAGCCACUCAGACAUCAGGAGCUGGAAGAGAAACGACCAGGAUGGACGCUCCACUCUCCGAGGAGCCACCUGAUGGACAUGCAGCCGUGGGAGGGAGUCAACUGACUGAAUAUAACUCACGUCCAAGAAUGGAUUCUUCUGAUCAUCUUCUGAAACAACAAACGCUGUGAGUCCCUGCAGGGAAUUCCUCUCUCCGCCUGUGGUUUCUGCUUUAUUCCAGCAUCUCUGUAGUAAAAGCUCAGAUCGAUGUGUGCGCCGCUGCUGCAGCAACGUCACCUGUGCUUCUACUAAAAGCCUCGGCGUUUUCCCAGGAGUCACCUCACUGCAGAGGUAGAGGGGGGUGCGGGUGAGGGGGGGCCCCAAGGAAUAACAAGGGAUUCAAACCGGAAAAAAAGGGAAUAAUGUGUGAAUCGAUUAAAACUGUGGAUCAUCAGGGAAAAGAGAGAGAGAGAAGAAAUGCCCAGGCCAUAGGUGAGGAAAAAAAUGAUGUAAUGACAGACUUGUACUCCAACGGAUUCUUACAUACGUCUAAAUUGACCUUUAGAGAAGAUGACUAUUUGUAAACUGGAUGACUUGGACUGAGAAAGACAUGAUUGAAAGAAAGACUGAUGUGUGAUGUGUGAAGUCCUACUUGAACAUAACUGACCUGACUGCUGUAUAAACUAAGUCAGUUCUGAGCCCAGUGAUCAACCUGCCGUCUUCUUCUACAGCCUCACAGCUGACCAUGAAUAACCUCAUCCACGUUUGUACACAAUACACUGUAUGGUGUAUGGACCAGAACCUGGUUUACACAUCUCAGCAGUCCGUAGAUAAAAAAAAACAACAAAAAACACUGACUCAGUCGAACUGAUCCUUAAAUCAAUCACGUCCACCACUCUGCCAUCAUCUUCCCAGAUCCCAGACUAAUCCAUAAAUAAUUCAUGCUACAGAUUCCAUUAUGGGCUCAUUGAUAUAAAAGCAGUGCGAGUGUGUGUCCGUCAAAAAACCAACGACCCGCUGCUCUCUGCCUGCUCCUGUUCUUUAAUUGAGCUUUCAGGAGAAAAUAAAUAAAACAAAAGUUUUCAUUUUUAAUUUUUGCUUCUGUGAACGACAAACUCCAACUCAAGAAGAAGAAGGAGACGUUCCUGCAGCCUCUCGUACCUCCACCAGCCUUUACAUUCUUUCUGAAGGAAACUGAACUCGGGGAUUGAACCAGCAUUGGCGGUUAAUCAUGACAGGAGAACCUUUGCCGUCAAUAACAGUAAACCAAAAAAAAGGAGGAUGGAGCUGAGGGCAGCAGAAUAGAAAUGUGAUGGAUUCCUCAGAGAAAGAGACGUCAGAGGUGAUUUCUUCUUCUUGACCAUGUCCGGCGUUUCUGGCCUCAGUUCAUGCUCACACACACUCUGGGCUGAACAACAGCAGCAGCUCUGUGCCAUCCAUCCACUGUCUCCGGCUUUUAUUAUCUGCUGCUCUGAUAGCAGCGCUGUCACACACAGGCAUAAAUUUUCAGACCAUUUACUGGGAGGAGGCGGCGGCAGAUAACUGGAUGUAAAGAAAAUCGUGGAGAGUAAUUUGAUCUCUGAGCUCAUUAGUAAACAACAUGUUGAAUGUCUGACUUUUGUUUAUCUCUACGCUGAUGUUGGAUAUUUUUCAUUAUUUCCUGUUUAAGGUUCAAGGAGACACAAAUAAACCUGUGUCACUGGGUAAAAGACACAAACGAUAAAGGACGAAAAAGGACAGCGAAAUGGAAAGAAGAUGAACGGCAGGGAGACACUGCUGCCUCCUGUGGCCGAUCGAUGUCACUGAGGAAACAAAGAGACGACACUGAGACGCUGCAGAGUUCUCUGGAGACCUGCGGACGGACAGACGUGAAGGACGGACUGGACCUGGAUCAGUACAGCUCACAUAUCAGCCUGCCCACACACACACACACACACACACACACACACAUACAAUUUGUGUUGCUCCUGGUCUGGGUCUGGGUCUUGAAGGAAUCUCUCUCUGGUUUUAAAACCACAGUGGGGCUUCAAGAUACGAGCUCCCCGAAAUAUGAGUUUUCCAAAUUACAAAAAAGAGCUGAGCCGCAGCAGCACCAUCACAGCACGGAGACACAGUUAAAGAGAAGAAGAAGAAGAAGAAACAGCUCCACAGACGUCAGAGCGUCACUGAGGUUGGUUCCACUCAAUCACUUCCUGUUUCUACAGCCCACCACAGACCACAGUCUCACACUGGGGUCUGUGGUGGAUGUAGACUUAUUUGGACUCCAGGGGGUCAAAGGUCACGAUGUGGUGAUAUUCUGCUAAAAAUCUACCUUUUUGAACGGAAAAAGCCAGUACUAAUGAGCCAGGUGCUCGUUCACUCGUGUGUUCGUGUGCGUGUGUGCGUGCAUCCGCGCAUCGACGGCCCAAUCCGUUUUUUUUCAUUUAUUCACCUCGCCCCACAGAAUUCAAAUAGUAAGUUGGUAAACCCUGCCCACCCACUGCCAAUCACAUGAAGUGAAAAGUUCCCUUUGAACAUCACCACUUGUCCUUGACGUUCAGCAACAGCGAACGUGUUGUAACGUCCACACACUGACGAACUGCUGACCUUUAUCUGUCAGGCUACACCGCUAACCACUGAACCACUGUACAGGAGCAUCUACAGAGCCACGUGGGACCAAGUGGCUUCACUUCAUUUUGGUGUGCACACCAACAAAGACUGAUGUCCGGUCUACAUGCCGAUGUGUCCCUGGGCCCCAUCAGACCCUGCCACGAGGAGUCCCAGUCUGGGUCUGAGACUGCUGGACUAGGAGGAGAUUUUGAGGUGAACCACAGACUCAGACACAAGGCUACGGCCUCAUCACAACCAGUUUUUGGUCUUCGUCAGGACCAAGGUUUGGACUACACCAAGACUGGGUUCUGGUGUAAAUCAGGACCAGGUUUACAUUGUUGUCAGGACCAGGACUUGGUCUCCAGCAGGACAAGGUUCUGGUCCUAAAACCCUCCAGCACCCCAACCCCUUUGUGCCUCCUUCUUCACUCUGCUUUUUGUUAAACAACCUUUUUUUUUUUCCUUAACUUCUUCAUACGUCACACACAUGCACACUCUGACCGUGCGUGUAGACGCGCACACGUUGCGUGGGGGAAUGUUGAGGGGGAGGAUAAGAUGGGGGAGGAGCAGCGCCUCCUUUUCUCCUCAGUCACCAAAGUAAACAGCGUUAACAUGCAGCACGCGUUACUCUCGCGCGCGCGCACGCUCAAGGCUGCUUGCAGGAGCAAUCGCGCACACGCUUCUUUCUCUAUAUAUUUAUUACUCCUGCGCGCGUGCCCGUGCGUGCUUGUGCGCGCACCAGCACAGCAGCAGGACACGCGUGAUUCAUACGCACCCCCUCAUCAUUAGCAUUCACCUCCACGAACAGUGUGUUCACGCACAAAUGAAAGAUGAAGCCGCGUGUGCGUGUAGACCACGAGCGGUCGCGUCCACGGAGUGAAGGAAAGUAGCAGGAGAAAUAGAAAAACACAUGAAUCUACCUGCGG